UACGGAGGAUGCGAGCGUUAUCCGGAUUUAUUGGGUUUAAAGGGUGCGUAGGCGGGCUUUUAAGUCAGCGGUAAAAAUUCGGGGCUCAACCCCGUCGUGCCGUUGAAACUGGCGCCCUUGAGUGGGCGAGAAGUAUGCGGAAUGCGUGGUGUAGCGGUGAAAUGCAUAGAUAUCACGCAGAACCCCGAUUGCGAAGGCAGCAUACCGGCGCCCGACUGACGCUGAAGCACGAAAGCGUGGGUAUCGAACAGG
This 252-nucleotide ribosomal RNA is filed under the name uncultured bacterium. RNAcentral describes it as "partial 16S ribosomal RNA". It matches the Rfam family "Bacterial small subunit ribosomal RNA", at positions 524 to 776 of the family's 1533-position model. The record is from RNAcentral.